UCUAAGGAUAUCGGCGGAAAGCGCUGGCUCUUGUAGUCAGAAGAGCUUCCUCCAUUCCAAAGAACAUAGGCCGCCGUCCUCAUGUCCCUUCAUCACUGGAAAAUACGCCUUGGCAGCAAGGUGUAUCUGCCUGGCAGGCUUUCGAGCGCCUCGCGCUGCUGUAAAAAGCGGCUUGCAAGGCACCGGGCCGGUAGCUCAGGUGGUUAGAGCGCACGCCUGAUAAGCGUGAGGUCGGAGGUUCAACUCCUCCCCGGCCCACCAGACCGCUUCGCGGUCUGGAGUCUUUGAUUGGUGCUCAAGCGCCGCCGAACGCAUCCGCGUUCUUGGCUAUUCGCCGCAUAAGCGGCGACGGGCGCUAGAAGCGGAUUGGCGGCCUUGCGAAGGCUUCGCCUUCGUUGGUGCAUGCAUCGACGUCAUGGUAACGGGGCCUUAGCUCAGCUGGGAGAGCGGUUGCUUUGCAAGCAUCAGGUCAUCGGUUCGAUCCCGAUAGGCUCCACCAUCCCCUCGAUAUUUCCAGAGAUGAAGAGAAACGGUUUGCCAGCCAAGGGCUGGUGAUAUGGAGCGCAUUGCGCUCCUCUUUGACAUUGUGAAUGGGUUUUUUAAUCGAUGCCGUGGCGACAUGGUUUUCGGUUCCGCGCGAUCUUCGGAUCGGAUGGAAACGGAAGCGAUGAUCGUACGCGAAUGAUUAUCUGGCUGAGUUUAAUAACCGCAUUGUUUCAACGGCAGGAAAAGCACUUGAUCUUCCAGUGUUGUCGUUGGUGGUGCGGACUCUCAAGCGUG
This 780-nucleotide transfer RNA is filed under the name Sphingobium xenophagum. RNAcentral's name for it is "16S-23S intergenic spacer". The stretch from base 185 to 258 matches the Rfam family "tRNA". Lineage: Bacteria; Pseudomonadati; Pseudomonadota; Alphaproteobacteria; Sphingomonadales; Sphingobiaceae. The record is from RNAcentral.